CGGACGGGUGAGUAACGCGUGAGAACCUGCCCUUAGGAGGGGGACAACAGCUGGAAACGGUGGCUAAUACCGGAUGUGCCGAAAGGUGAAAGGUUAACUGCCUGAAGAUGAGCUCGCGUCUGAUUAGCUAGCUGGUAGAGUAAAAGCCUACCAAGGCGACGAUCAGUAGCUGGUCUGAGAGGACGAUCAGCCACACUGGGACUGAGACACGGCCCAGACUCCUACGGGAGGCAGCAGUGGGGAAUUUUCCGCAAUGGGCGAAAGCCUGACGGAGCAAUACCGCGUGAGGGAGGAAGGCUCUUGGGUCGUAAACCUCUUUUCUCAGGGAAGAACACAAUGACGGUACCUGAGGAAUAAGCAUCGGCUAACUCCGUGCCAGCAGCCGCGGUAAUACGGAGGAUGCAAGCGUUAUCCGGAAUGAUUGGGCGUAAAGCGUCCGCAGGUGGCAAUGUAAGUCUGCUGUUAAAGAGUCUAGCUCAACUAGAUAAGAGCAGUGGAAACUACAUAGCUAGAGUACGUUCGGGGCAGAGGGAAUUCCUGGUGUAGCGGUGAAAUGCGUAGAGAUCAGGAAGAACACCAGUGGCGAAGGCGCUCUGCUAGGCCGUAACUGACACUGAGGGACGAAAGCUAGGGGAGCGAAUGGGAUUAGAUACCCCAGUAGUC
This 663-nucleotide ribosomal RNA is filed under the name uncultured cyanobacterium. RNAcentral describes it as "bacterial SSU rRNA". It matches the Rfam family "Bacterial small subunit ribosomal RNA", at positions 99 to 795 of the family's 1533-position model. The record is from RNAcentral. Lineage: Bacteria; Bacillati; Cyanobacteriota.